GUGGGGAAUCUUGCGCAAUGGGGGCAACCCUGACGCAGCAACGCCGCGUGGGUGAUGAAGGUCUUCGGAUUGUAAAACCCUGUCACAAGGGACGAAAUAUAGUUGGUUUAACAGACCAGUUAUUUGACGGUACCUUGAGAGGAAACCCCGGCUAACUCCGUGCCAGCAGCCGCGGUAAUACGGAGGGGGUAAGCGUUGUUCGGAAUUACUGGGCGUAAAGAGCACGUAGGCGGUCGUGCAAGUCGUGUGUGAAAUCCCUCGGCUUAACCGAGGAAUUGCGCUCGAAACUACAUGACUAGAGUACAGGAGAGGAGAGUGGAAUUCCCAAUGUAGCGGUGGAAUGCGUAGAUAUUGGGAGGAACACCGGUGGCGAAGGCGUCUCUCUGGACUGAUACUGACGCUGAGGUGCGAAAGCUAGGGGAGCAAACGGGAUUAGAUACCCCUGUAGUCC
This 451-nucleotide ribosomal RNA is filed under the name uncultured bacterium. Its description in RNAcentral is "bacterial SSU rRNA". It matches the Rfam family "Bacterial small subunit ribosomal RNA", at positions 354 to 796 of the family's 1533-position model. The record is from RNAcentral.